Molecule: transfer RNA, 79 nt
Filed under: Variovorax sp. WDL1
Lineage: Bacteria; Pseudomonadati; Pseudomonadota; Betaproteobacteria; Burkholderiales; Comamonadaceae
Also listed under: 2 other names
Description: tRNA-Met
Source: RNAcentral
CGCGCGAUAGGGGAGUCAGGUCGUCCCCGCGAGUUUCAUACGCUCGAGAUCGCAAGCUCAAAUCGUGCUAGCGCAACCA